GUUUACGGCCACACCGCCUGGUUCAUGCCCGAUCUUGGAAGCUAAGAUAGGUUGGGCCUGGUUAGUACUUGGAUGGGAGACCGCCUGGGAAUACCAGGUGCUGUAAGCU
This 109-nucleotide ribosomal RNA is filed under the name Scophthalmus maximus (turbot). The record is from RNAcentral. Lineage: Eukaryota; Metazoa; Chordata; Actinopteri; Pleuronectiformes; Scophthalmidae.